RNAcentral lists this ribosomal RNA (253 nucleotides) under uncultured bacterium. RNAcentral describes it as "partial 16S ribosomal RNA". It matches the Rfam family "Bacterial small subunit ribosomal RNA", at positions 524 to 776 of the family's 1533-position model. The record is from RNAcentral.
UACGUAGGGUGCAAGCGUUAAUCGGAAUUACUGGGCGUAAAGCGUGCGCAGGCGGUGAUGUAAGACAGUUGUGAAAUCCCCGGGCUCAACCUGGGAACUGCAUCUGUGACUGCAUCGCUGGAGUGCGGCAGAGGGGGAUGGAAUUCCGCAUGUAGCAGUGAAAUGCGUAGAGAUGCGGAGGAACACCGAUGGCGAAGGCAGCCCCCUGGGCCAAUACUGACGCUCAGGCACGAAAGCGUGGGGAGCAAACAGG